RNAcentral lists this long non-coding RNA (929 nucleotides) under Citrus maxima (pomelo). RNAcentral describes it as "long non-coding RNA (CMAX_LNC002799)". Lineage: Eukaryota; Viridiplantae; Streptophyta; Magnoliopsida; Sapindales; Rutaceae. The record is from RNAcentral.
CUUCUCGCUGUUUGGAAUAAAAAUGUCAAGAGUAAAAUAUAAAAAAGUAUGUCAAGAGUACAAUAUAAAAAAGUUUAACAUUACGUAUAAAAUUCACUAUUUUCAAAUCAAUUUAAAAUAUUUAAGUGUGAAUAGGAUUUUGUUGGGUGACCUCUAGUACCGAAUUGAACGAUCCAUUUUGACAAAUACAUUGUUGCAUUGAUGAAUCUAAGGGACCACAUGUAAUAGAGUCUUCAUUAAUGCAUUUACUAAAUAUAAUUCAAGUAAAUACUAAAUAUUAUUAAUGAAAAACAAAGUAAUUUUAAAUCAAAUCAAAAGAAAAUUACCGAAAGCACCGUCGUUUGCGUUCAUUCCACCUUUUUUCCACUCAAUUACUUCUUUCAAAGUUGAUGGCUUCGAUGGCUUCCGCCGAACAAUUUAAGAAACCUUUGACUGAAGACCAUAAAGUUCAAAUGCAAUUGGCUGAGAUCACCAAAACCAGCUGUGCUGAAGACCACCUACUCUUUGCCUCUCAGGUCCUUCCCAUGCAGAGAAUAACUCGAGCCCUACUUUUCUACAUUCUUACAUGACACGCGUCUUUAUUCGCAAUUCCAAAUGCCCUGCCGCCGUGAAAAAAAAAAAACAUUACAUCCACCUUUUUCCCGUGAGCAUGAUAACAAGUGUAGAAACUGAUACAUACGAACAAGAACUCUCGCGUAGCAGCCCGACUUUAAUUGGAUCUACUACUGAUGGCCGUCAGCGUUCCCUUGUCCAUGACCAUGCCACGCUAGAUCAGUAUAAAAACAAAGCUUCGGCUUUCCCCACGCGUCAUGCCAGCUGCAACUGCCAUGGAGUCCGUGUUGCGAACAUGUCGGACUUCGUGGGUCCCUCCAUUUUCUCUACCCGUCCCGCACUUAAUUCUGUUUAUUAUUGUUUUUGGUGGGAACCAC